Molecule: long non-coding RNA, 251 nt
Filed under: Sorghum bicolor (sorghum)
Lineage: Eukaryota; Viridiplantae; Streptophyta; Magnoliopsida; Poales; Poaceae
Description: long non-coding RNA (SBIC_LNC005760)
Source: RNAcentral
UUGGGAAACUGUGAUGAUUGCCCCCCAGGAAUGAUACAUUUGGCCUCCUCCGGACAAUCAGAUCUGAAUUGUUAACAGUACCACAAAUAUGAGUCUGUUCGCUUGUCUAAGAACUAAAAAUAUUGUUCACUGAUUUGUUUAUUGUAAGAGAAAAACACUACUAGCUAGCAGAAAACGUACGGAUUACAAGCGAUGGUCUGAUUAGAAUUGAAAAACUGUGAUGAUUGCCCCCGAGGGAUGGUACAUUUGGC